RNAcentral lists this ribosomal RNA (89 nucleotides) under Methylococcales bacterium. Lineage: Bacteria; Pseudomonadati; Pseudomonadota; Gammaproteobacteria; Methylococcales. The record is from RNAcentral.
CCCGAUCCCAUCUCGAACUCGGAAGUGAAACCGUUUAGCGCCGAUGAUAGUGUGGCAGUUUGCCAUGCGAAAGUAGGGAAUUGCCAAGC